Nerophis ophidion (straightnose pipefish) is the source of this 1269-nucleotide long non-coding RNA. RefSeq lists it as uncharacterized. The record is from RefSeq and is a predicted model, not a curated record. Lineage: Eukaryota; Metazoa; Chordata; Actinopteri; Syngnathiformes; Syngnathidae. The transcript has 3 exons.
ACUCCUUUCAAAUUUGCUGGCUUUUUUAAUGUUUUUUUUUAAAAUAUGUUUUUGUAAAAAUGUCAAUAUUUUUUUUUAAUAUAUUUUACAUUUGAAUUCUAAAGUUGUUGUAUAUAUAAUGUAGUAUUACAUUUUUUAAAUAUUUCUGUGAUAUCUUCUUUAUAAAUGACAGCAUUACUUUUAAUUGUCUGCCUUUUUUUAUUAUGUUUUUUAAUAACACAUUUAAAUUGUAAAACGUUAAUCCUCGUACUAUUGUGAGUUGUGACCUUUUUUUGUCAUAGUUUCAACUUCCUUCUUUCAAUAUGACAACAAAAUUACAAAUACCCCCCCUCAAAAUACAACCUUAAUCUCAUAAAAUAAUUACCUGUUGUUCUAUAAGGACAUGUUUAAUACACAUGUCUGCUUCUUAAAUAAAUGUAUAAUCUUGUACUUUACUUUUUUUCAUAAUUACAACUUUAGUCUUGUAAUAAAACACACUUUUUUGCUUAUAAAUAACAUGUUUUGUCUGUUCAUUGUUAAAGCCAACCAAUGGAAAACACAUUAACUUUAUAAAAAUAAAUAUAUAGUUGCCAGACACUGUAAAAAAACAUGCAUGAUAUUACUGCUGCAGCAUUUAAAAUAUGUAAAAAAACAAACAAAAAAUGUUGUCUUUUCUGGCUUCAUCUGCUUGUGGUUCUGGUCUCGCCCCACCUUUCUCCACAUGGGCACCUUCUCACCCGAAAGCGGGUCACACGUAUCCCGCCAUGCCUCCCCUCUGGAUUCAUUACCCAACACACCAAAAUAGCUCUGACUGAUUUCACACAAUGUUGGAAUGUUAUUCACUGCUGCUGGAUGUUUCGGGACCUUUUUAAAAGUGCUGUGUCAGCAGUUAAUGUGCCCAGUGGUGGUUGCACUAUGAGGGCGCCUGUUUACACCUGUACCACCUCUUUCCUGGGGACACCAAGGCCAAGAUCCUGAAGACAUUUUUUUUUUAUCAGCUAGCUUGAAGAUGACAUUAAGGAAACGACUCCUGUCCAUUUUGUUGUACUGCGUCCAACGUGUGGCCUCGCUUUUCUGCCUACACCCCAAACGCAACAAGAAAAACUGCCUCUCUGCGGGACCCAGGAAUCUGGUGUCUGUCAUCCAGAAGCUUGCCCAGAGGGUCACUCGUGGGAUGCGGACCACUCUGUGAUGCGCUCCCCUGCCCACCCGUGCCGCUGAACAACUACUAAUUCUCAAAUUGGAGCAAUUUUAUUAUGUAUAGUAUCAUUUGAUGGCAUUAAAUAAAUA